Molecule: long non-coding RNA, 245 nt
Filed under: Struthio camelus australis
Lineage: Eukaryota; Metazoa; Chordata; Aves; Struthioniformes; Struthionidae
Description: lncRNA (ENSSCUG00000014895.1)
Source: RNAcentral
AUCAAAUUAAGUGAACUAUUGUAUUAAUUCCUUCCUUGUCUAUUCAUAGAUUUCAUUCUGCUUUUUUCCUGCUUAGUGGUAAUUUGAAGAAGUUGGAACGCUGCUCUUAGGCUCAUUUACGUCAUUUACUAAAAGAGAAAUUCAUAUGGACUGUUUCCUCUCUACCUGUACCCAAGAUCUUACCUUUCAAAUGGUAAUAAAGACUUUGAAAUUUUAACUGAGGUUUGGCUGGCUGACCUAUACAU